Molecule: long non-coding RNA, 291 nt
Filed under: Olea europaea (common olive)
Lineage: Eukaryota; Viridiplantae; Streptophyta; Magnoliopsida; Lamiales; Oleaceae
Description: long non-coding RNA (OEUR_LNC004651)
Source: RNAcentral
AUGACCAUGUACGAGUUGAUCGGAUCGCUUCUUGCACAUGAGCAAAGAAUCAAUCGUUCGGCUAGUCAAUCAAUCGAACAAGCCUUCCAAUCAAAGCAAGCAUUAAAAAUAACUUUAAGCAAUCAUGGAGGUUCAAACAAUAAAAAGGGAAAGUUUAGCAAGUGGAGUCAAAAUGAAAAGCAAAGCAAUUGGAAAGCCAAGGCACCACAACAAUCCGGUAAGGCUCAAUCUUGCAUUAUUUGCAAAAAGAACAAUCAUGAAUCAAAAGAUUUCUAUUUUAAAUGCAAAAGA